UCCGGUUUGUCACCGGCAGUCUUCCCAGAGUCCCCGGCAUGACCCGCUGGUAACUGAGAACAAGGGUUGCGCUCGUUGCGGGACUUAACCCAACAUCUCACGACACGAGCUGACGACAGCUAUGCACCACCUGUGUACGACCCCGAAGGACACCGUAUCUCUACGGCUUUUCCGUACAUGUCAAGCCCAGGUAAGGUUCUUCGCGUUGCAUCGAAUUAAGCCACAUACUCCACCGCUUGUGCAGGCCCCCGUCAAUUUCUUUGAGUUUUAAUCUUGCGACCGUACUCCCCAGGCGGCGCGUUUAUCGCGUUAGCUUCGCCACGGAAGGGGUCGAUUCCUCCCACAGCAAACGCGCACCGUUUAGGGCUAGGACUAC
Molecule: unclassified non-coding RNA, 376 nt
Filed under: uncultured bacterium
Lineage: Bacteria
Description: contains 16S-23S intergenic spacer region
Source: RNAcentral